This 465-nucleotide ribosomal RNA is filed under the name human gut metagenome. RNAcentral's name for it is "bacterial SSU rRNA". It matches the Rfam family "Bacterial small subunit ribosomal RNA", at positions 234 to 716 of the family's 1533-position model. The record is from RNAcentral.
CGUCUGAUUAGCUAGUUGGUGAGAUAACAGCCCACCAAGGCGACGAUCAGUAGCCGACCUGAGAGGGUGACCGGCCACAUUGGGACUGAGACACGGCCCAGACUCCUACGGGAGGCAGCAGUGGGGAAUAUUGCACAAUGGAGGAAACUCUGAUGCAGCGACGCCGCGUGAGUGAAGAAGUAAUUCGUUAUGUAAAGCUCUAUCAGCAGGGAAGAUAGUGACGGUACCUGACUAAGAAGCUCCGGCUAAAUACGUGCCAGCAGCCGCGGUAAUACGUAUGGAGCAAGCGUUAUCCGGAUUUACUGGGUGUAAAGGGAGUGUAGGUGGCCAUGCAAGUCAGAAGUGAAAAUCCGGGGCUCAACCCCGGAACUGCUUUUGAAACUGUAAGGCUGGAGUGCAGGAGGGGUGAGUGGAAUUCCUAGUGUAGCGGUGAAAUGCGUAGAUAUUAGGAGGAACACCAGUGGC